This 438-nucleotide ribosomal RNA is filed under the name uncultured Arthrobacter sp. RNAcentral describes it as "bacterial SSU rRNA". It matches the Rfam family "Bacterial small subunit ribosomal RNA", at positions 28 to 479 of the family's 1533-position model. Lineage: Bacteria; Bacillati; Actinomycetota; Actinomycetes; Micrococcales; Micrococcaceae. The record is from RNAcentral.
GAUGAACGCUGGCGGCGUGCUUAACACAUGCAAGUCGAACGAUGAUGCCAGCUUGCUGGUGGAUUAGUGGCGAACGGGUGAGUAACACGUGAGUAACCUGCCCUUAACUCUGGGAUAAGCCUGGGAAACUGGGUCUAAUACCGGAUAUGACUCCUCAUCGCAUGGUGGGGGGUGGAAAGCUUUAUUGUGGUUUUGGAUGGACUCGCGGCCUAUCAGCUUGUUGGUGAGGUAAUGGCUCACCAAGGCGACGACGGGUAGCCGGCCUGAGAGGGUGACCGGCCACACUGGGACUGAGACACGGCCCAGACUCCUACGGGAGGCAGCAGUGGGGAAUAUUGCACAAUGGGCGAAAGCCUGAUGCAGCGACGCCGCGUGAGGGAUGACGGCCUUCGGGUUGUAAACCUCUUUCAGUAGGGAAGAAGCGAAAGUGACGGUACC